This 301-nucleotide ribosomal RNA is filed under the name uncultured bacterium. Its description in RNAcentral is "partial 16S ribosomal RNA". It matches the Rfam family "Bacterial small subunit ribosomal RNA", at positions 509 to 807 of the family's 1533-position model. The record is from RNAcentral.
CAGUCGCCGCGGUAAUACGGAGGGUGCAAGCGUUAAUCGGAAUUACUGGGCGUAAAGCGCACGCAGGCGGUCUGACAAGUCAGAUGUGAAAUCCCCGGGCUUAACCUGGGAACUGCAUUUGAAACUGUCAUGCUGGAGUCUUGUAGAGGGGGGUAGAAUUCCAGGUGUAGCGGUGAAAUGCGUAGAGAUCUGGAGGAAUACCGGUGGCGAAGGCGGCCCCCUGGACAAAGACUGACGCUCAGGUGCGAAAGCGUGGGGAGCAAACAGGAUUAGAUACCCCAGUAGUCCCUGUCUCUUAUAC